CCUACGGGGAGCAGCAGUGGGGAAUAUUGCGCAAUGGGCGAAAGCCUGACGCAGCGACGCCGCGUGAGGGAUGAAGGUCUUCGGAUCGUAAACCUCUGUCAGCAGGGAAGAACGGUCACUGUGCUAAUCAGCAGUGAAUUGACGGUACCUGCAAAGGAAGCACCGGCUAACUACGUGACAGCAGCCGCGGCAAUACGUAGGAGGCAAGCGUUAUCCGGAAUGACUGGGCGUAAAGGGUGCGUAGGUGGUUUGACAAGUUGGUAGCGUAACUCGGAGGCUUAACCUCGGCACUACUACCAAAACUGUUGGACUGGAGGGCAGGAGGGGAAAAUGGAAUGCGUAGUGUAGCGGUGGAAUGCGUAGAUAUUAGGAGGAACUCCAGUGGCGAAGGCGAUUUGCUGGACUGUAACUGACACUGAGGCACGAAAGCGUGGGGAGCAAACAGGAUUAGAUACCCGUGUAGUC
This 465-nucleotide ribosomal RNA is filed under the name uncultured bacterium. Its description in RNAcentral is "partial 16S ribosomal RNA". It matches the Rfam family "Bacterial small subunit ribosomal RNA", at positions 338 to 795 of the family's 1533-position model. The record is from RNAcentral.